GCAACCAUAUGAACUUGCUGAGGAAAGAGAAAUUCACAGCAGGCAGCGUGCAGUGGGCUGGCUCCCAUGCACUCACAGGGUUCCAGGAAACUGAGACAAGAGUACCAAAAUGAGGAUGGUGCCAAAGAGAGACAUGCACUUUUCCUAAGAUGACCCUUUCCCCAGAGCAGGAUGUACUGCACUGGCAACAAUACAGGAAGGAAAGCAGCAUGACAAGGGCCAUGGACCACACAAUCCUACUCUCUGAUCCUGUGAAUGUGACUAUUUAGUGCUAUUGAGAGGUUCCAAACUCAGAAUGGGGAAAGAGGAUGUGAUUUGAUUUCCUAAAAGCCCCAAGCAGUGAUUGACCAAAAACUUCCUCCUGACUAGAAUGUCUGCUCAUUGCCACAGCAGUGCUCCAACAGAAUGUUUUGGCAACAGUCCCGACUAUGGUCAGCAACUCCUUAAGCAGCUGGGAUUUCUUAAAACAAGUGAGUAGCAUUUGCCUUGCAGUGCUCCAGCAACAAAACAAGCAAAGCUUCCAUGGGAAUCAGAUAUUUACAGAGCAUUCUCUCUCUUGCCCCUGCUCUUCCUUCAUGUAACCAAGGAGGUCAGAGCCACUCAUGCACAUUUUGGCAAUUACAGUGCUCACAGUGGAGCUUAUAUACAGAUACAAUCCUAAACACUAGGCCCUGCCACACAUCACAGGGAACUUCUUGAUUACACUGAUUGUUGGAUGAAUAACCUGAAUGUGUCAAGUUGAAGGACUUGUGACAGAUCAAAACUGUAUCCCCUGUAGCAGACACUUGUCACC
Molecule: non-coding RNA, 793 nt
Organism: Castor canadensis (American beaver)
Lineage: Eukaryota; Metazoa; Chordata; Mammalia; Rodentia; Castoridae
Source: RefSeq, a predicted model, not a curated record